UACGUAGGGUGCAAGCGUUAAUCGGAAUUACUGGGCGUAAAGCGUGCGUAGGCGGCUAUGUAAGACAGAUGUGAAAUCCCUGGGCUUAACCUAGGAACUGCAUUUGUGACUGCAUUGCUAGAGUGUGGUAGAGGGAGGUAGAAUUCCACGUGUAGCAGUGAAAUGCGUAGAGAUGUGGAGGAAUACCGAUGGCGAAGGCAGCCUCCUGGGCCAACACUGACGCUCAUGCACGAAAGCGUGGGGAGCAAACAGG
RNAcentral lists this ribosomal RNA (253 nucleotides) under uncultured bacterium. RNAcentral describes it as "partial 16S ribosomal RNA". It matches the Rfam family "Bacterial small subunit ribosomal RNA", at positions 524 to 776 of the family's 1533-position model. The record is from RNAcentral.